Molecule: long non-coding RNA, 311 nt
Filed under: Elaeis guineensis (African oil palm)
Lineage: Eukaryota; Viridiplantae; Streptophyta; Magnoliopsida; Arecales; Arecaceae
Description: long non-coding RNA (EGUI_LNC022177)
Source: RNAcentral
CCCAAAUCUUUCUUCCUCGUCGAGCUCUUCACCUACCAUCCCCAAAUAUUACUUUUUGUUUUAUAGUAACGUAAUUAGCAGAUAUACUUUUUGUUUUUUUACUUUUACUCAAUAGCAAAAAUCAAAAAAAAAUAAAAAUAUUUUUUAAAAAUCAAAAAUCAAAAAAUGUAAUCAAACGCACCCUUAGUGGAUUACAUAAUUGUAACUUUUACUUUAGAUCAAUCAUCAAUCACAUUGAUAAUUUUAUCAUUCAAUAAUUCAUAAUCAUUGAUCAACUAUCUGAUCAGACAAGAAGCUCUUUUGUGUGUGAU